RNAcentral lists this ribosomal RNA (279 nucleotides) under uncultured bacterium. RNAcentral describes it as "partial 16S ribosomal RNA". It matches the Rfam family "Bacterial small subunit ribosomal RNA", at positions 506 to 784 of the family's 1533-position model. The record is from RNAcentral.
UGCCAGCAGCCGCGGUAAUACAGAGGGUGCAAGCGUUAAUCGGAAUUACUGGGCGUAAAGAGUACGUAGGCGGCUUUUCAAGUCGGAUGUGAAAUCCCUGAGCUUAACUCAGGAACUGCAUUCGAUACUGGAUCGCUAGAGUAUAUUAGAGGAUAGUGGAAUUUCAAGUGUAGCGGUGAAAUGCGUAGAUAUUUGAAGGAACACCAAUGGCGAAGGCAGCUAUUUGGAAUAAUACUGACGCUGAGGUACGAAAGCGUGGGGAGCAAACAGGAUUAGAUA